RNAcentral lists this ribosomal RNA (397 nucleotides) under uncultured bacterium. Its description in RNAcentral is "partial 16S ribosomal RNA". It matches the Rfam family "Bacterial small subunit ribosomal RNA", at positions 523 to 918 of the family's 1533-position model. The record is from RNAcentral.
AUACGUAGGGGGCGAGCGUUGUCCGGAAUGAUUGGGCGUAAAGGGCGCGUAGGCGGCGCGGUAAGUCUGGAGUGAAAGUCCUGCUUUCAAGGUGGGAAUUGCUUUGGAUACUGCCGCGCUUGAGUGCAGGAGAGGUUAUCGGAAUUCCCGGUGUAGCGGUGAAAUGCGUAGAGAUCGGGAGGAACACCAGUGGCGAAGGCGGGUAACUGGACUGCAACUGACGCUGAGGCGCGAAAGUGUGGGGAGCAAACAGGAUUAGAUACCCUGGUAGUCCACACUGUAAACGAUGAAUGCUAGGUGUAGGAGGUAUCGACCCCUUCUGUGCCGCAGUAAACACAGUAAGCAUUCCGCCUGGGGAGUACGGUCGCAAGAUUAAAACUCAAAUGAAUUGGCGGGG